GAUGAACGCUGGCGGCGUGCUUAACACAUGCGAGUCGAACGGUGAAGGCGGAGCUUGCUCUGCUGGAUCAGUGGCGAACGGGUGAGUAACACGUGAGCAAUCUGCCCCUGACCCUGGGAUAAGCGCUGGAAACGGCGUCUAAUACUGGAUACGAGCUGCGGAGGCAUCUUCAGCAGCUGGAAAGAACUUCGGUCAGGGAUGAGCUCGCGGCCUAUCAGCUUGUUGGUGAGGUAACGGCUCACCAAGGCGUCGACGGGUAGCCGGCCUGCUAGGGUGACCUGCCACACUGGGACUGAGACACGGCCCAGACUCGUACGGGAGGCAGCAGUGGGGAAUAGUGCACAAUGGGCGAAAGCCUGAUGCAGCAACGCCGCGUGAGGGACGACGGCCUUCGGGUUGUAAACCUCUUUUAGCAGGGAAGAAGCGAAAGUGACGGUACCGGCAGAAAAAGCUCCGGCUAACUACGUG
This 468-nucleotide ribosomal RNA is filed under the name uncultured bacterium. RNAcentral describes it as "partial 16S ribosomal RNA". It matches the Rfam family "Bacterial small subunit ribosomal RNA", at positions 28 to 507 of the family's 1533-position model. The record is from RNAcentral.